RNAcentral lists this long non-coding RNA (2138 nucleotides) under Olea europaea (common olive). RNAcentral's name for it is "long non-coding RNA (OEUR_LNC009361)". The record is from RNAcentral. Lineage: Eukaryota; Viridiplantae; Streptophyta; Magnoliopsida; Lamiales; Oleaceae.
GAAAUUAUAGAAACAAGAGAGAAAAUUGUUUCUCUGAGACAGAAUUUCUGAAAUAAACACACAUAAAAUGAGAACCCUAAGAGAAUUCGCAAUUACAAACCAAUGAACCCAAAUUUUGAUCAUCAGUAGGACCAAAGAACAAAACCCUGAAACUAUCCUUCAAGAUUCCUUCUAUGCAUGAAUAAAGAAUGUGAUUAUCGCACUUGAAUCCAUCUUCAGAAAUCCUUGUCUAGUCCUGUUGGAAAGGGUUAAUCAUCUCCCUACUGAAAUAGGGAAAGAAUACAAGACUUGGAAAUAGAAUUAGGAUUCUGCACGUAUAGCUUUUUAGAUGUACAGAAACUACUAAUUUUACAGAAUUAGAAAAAUAGAAAACUAACUAGACAAAGUCAAAAUUUCAUUAAAGAAACGGCUACUAAGAAAUGGUUUAAACAAGAUGGCUAUUGACACCAAAAUCAAUCAUAGCUACCAAGUAGUGAUUUCUUAUCAAUUAAUACUGAUAAAAAAAAAAAAAAAAAUACAUACUUAGUGUCACUCGAUACUAAAAUCUGAUUUUUCUCACGUGCAUUAUAAUGGAUAUUCAAGAUUUGACUGAAGGAAAAGAGAAUGACAAAUCACUUAAUUGAAAAGAAAACACAACUGAUGGUGAUUUAAAUCAAACAUAAAAAGCACAUUCCAUCAAAGAUCAGAAAAAACCAUACAGCGUUUACAGAAACAAAUCCUAUGAAACUCAAGUUCAUGAUCAGUUAGACCAAAAUGAAACCUAGAAAAGAUCUUCUAUAUUCAUCCCAAGACGAAGAAUGUAACAUAACAGUGAAAUGACAGACAUAGAAACAGAGAAAACUCUGAGAACAUAAUCAUAAAUAAAUUGGAAAAGGAACCACAGAUAUAACACAAAAGCACAGUCAAUCACAGAAAAAUUCAGGAAAACAAAUCCAGUGAAACUCAAUAUUGAUCAUCACUCCAAAGAACAAAGUCAAGAAAAAUGAUCCUUCAAAAUUCGUCCAAAUGCACCAACAAGUAUGUGAUUAUAAAGAAAAAAAAUAUAAAAAAGAAAAAAAAAACUCUAUGAACAAAUCCUAAAAUAAACAUAUUGAAAAUGAAAAAGGAACCACAAACCCAAUACAAAAAAACACAAAUUACAUUAAAGGUUCAACCCACAGGGAAUGUAACAUCAAUAAAUCCAGUGAAAUUCAAAAUUCAUCAUCAUCCAGAGAACAAGACCCGCAGAAGUCCUUCAAUAUUCAUCAUUUAAUGCAAAAAAAAGAAAGCGACUAGGAAGACAUGGCAAUUACAUAAAUAAAGAGAACAUUAUCACACUUAGAAAUGUAAUAGGUGCAAUAACUGUAAAUAAAAUGAAAAAACAAAACAAAACAAAACAAAACAAAACAAAACAAAAGAAAAAAACACAACUUAUUAAUAUUGAAACCAAACAAAAAUUUAAUUAAAGAUUUAGCCCAUAUAGAAUUCACAGAACGAAAACAAAUACAGCAAAACCCAAGAUGAACUAUCACUCCAAAAGACAAUUAAUCCAGAUCCAUCCAAAUGUAAAGGGAACACCGAGCACAACCAUUAAUGAUCAAUCACUGCUUUGGGGUUUCAAAUUUCUGCGACUUCUCAGAAGGAAAAUGAUCAAUUCGAGUUUACAGGAAAAAUUCAUUCUCGCUGCCACACAUAAAAUUUCUGCGACUUCUCAGAAGGAAAAUGAUCAAUUCGAGUUUACAGGAAAAAUCAUUCUCGGUGCCAUACAUAAAAUGAAAAGAAAAGAGAAUUCACAGUUUUGAUCAUCACUUUGAUCCAGAAUAAAAAAAUCCCACAAGAUAAAGAAAAGAAAAGAGAAUUCACAAUUUUAUCAUCUCUUUAAUCAUCGUAAUGAACCAACAAUAGAACAGGAUUUCUGAAAUAAACACAUAUAAAAUGAGAACCCUAAGAGAAAUUCACAAAAACAAACCAGUGACCCAAAUUUUGAUCAUCAGUUGGACCAAAGAACAGAACCCUGAAACUAUCCUUCAAGACUUCUUCUAUGUGUGAAUAAAGAACAUGACUAUCGUACUGGAAUCCAUCUUCAGAAAUCCUUGUCUAAUUCUUUUUGACCGAGAAACCCCGAGCCUCACUCUUGGCCGAGAAACCCCAAGCCUCAC